RNAcentral lists this long non-coding RNA (416 nucleotides) under Gallus gallus (chicken). Its description in RNAcentral is "long non-coding RNA NONGGAT002099". The record is from RNAcentral. Lineage: Eukaryota; Metazoa; Chordata; Aves; Galliformes; Phasianidae.
AAAAUACUGAACAUAGACAGGAGUGCACUCAGAGCUCUACAGAAUGUGUAGCAGUUCCUUCGACACAGCAGGAGGCCAACAACAGCAUGUGUCAGAAGCCUAUACAGCUUCAUCACUCACCUAACAGAGUAAAGAUGAUGCCUGUCUGAGAAUUCACACCCACAGCAGUUACAAGCAUUCGUCCAGAGCCUUCCAUGACAAUUACUCAAUACGAUGAUGCAUCAAGAGACAUUUUUACUCAAGUCUUUGCAGGCAGCAACAUGGGAGAAGAGAGUUUUGGAUCUUAAGCAACAGAUCUGUACACGGUGGCUGAUAAAACGAAAGCCCCAAGGAUAUGAUGGCUGCAAUUUCCAAGAUUAUAAGAGUCACAUCCUGCAGUGCUUCCCACACUAGCUGUAUGAACGUUUUUGGCUUCU